This 464-nucleotide RNase P RNA is filed under the name Caldilineae bacterium. Its description in RNAcentral is "RNase P RNA component class A". It matches the Rfam family "Bacterial RNase P class A". From Rfam's summary of the family: Ribonuclease P (RNase P) is a ubiquitous endoribonuclease, found in archaea, bacteria and eukarya as well as chloroplasts and mitochondria. Lineage: Bacteria; Bacillati; Chloroflexota; Caldilineae. The record is from RNAcentral.
AAUAAGUGGAGAACCGCCGCUGCCAGUAUCGACUUCAUGUUGUCAUUGGUAGAGGAACUUCCCGACUCCCGGCCAUCGAUUGCGAUGGCAAGGUUGCCUCACGAAACAGCAAGUGAGGGCGCCAGACCAGCAAUGGCCUGGUGACUACAACCGCAACAGAGAGUAGUCCCGCCAGCGGCCCUGGCAUCCGACCAGGGUGCGGGUAAGGGCUGAAAGGGUGGGGUAAGAGCCCACCAGCGGUCGUAGAGAUACGUCCGGCUAGGCGAGCGUGCAACCGGGAGCAAGGCGAGUGGGUCAGGCUGGCGUGAUACACACUGGUUUGAUCUCGUCGCAGUGACUGCCGGUGAGGCCGGAUAACACCCGGCAAACCAGGCGUCACCACGCCGAUUCAUCGGUGUGAGACAGAUGGCGGUAGCAGACAAAAACGUCUGUAACAGAAUCGGGGGUACAUCCACUUUUUCAUU